GUUGCCUGGAGGCCAGAGGUGACCCUGACCUUGGAGUCGCGCCUACCUAAGGGUUGCGAAGCAGACAGGUUUCCUAAGCGGCAUCCAGAGCCCUGUCUGGAAGGUCCUUCCACAACACCAACUCCCGACGUUGGCCUUGGAAAUUCCCAGGGCAAUGGAACUCCCGCCUUCACCACUAACACAGAAAUUGCUCUGGCAAACGUCACCUAUUGCGGGGACUUCCCUGGUGGUCCAGUGAAUUCUUUUCCAAUAUAGGGUAUUACAAGACACUGAAUAUAGUUCCUUCUACUCUACACUCAGAUCCAGCUUAAUGGGCAUCAGAGGCAGGCCAGGCCAGGCUGAAAGAUGAGGCCACAUUGCAGCAGGACAGAGACUGUGACCGCGCUGUUGGCCCCGGAGAGGCAUGAGGACAGGGGACAUGGGUUCGAUCCCUGGUCCAGGAAGAUCCCACAUGCCGCGGAGCAACUAAGCCCGUGCGCCACAACUACUGAAGCCCCCGCGCCUAGAGCCCGUGCUCCACAACAAGAGAAACCACUGCAAUGAGAAGCCCGCGCACCGCAGUGAAGAGUAGCCCCCGCUCACUGCAACUAGAGAAAGCCCGUGCGCAGCAAUGAAGACCCAACA
Molecule: non-coding RNA, 624 nt
Organism: Kogia breviceps (pygmy sperm whale)
Lineage: Eukaryota; Metazoa; Chordata; Mammalia; Artiodactyla; Physeteridae
Source: RefSeq, a predicted model, not a curated record